Molecule: transfer RNA, 84 nt
Filed under: Caenorhabditis japonica
Lineage: Eukaryota; Metazoa; Nematoda; Chromadorea; Rhabditida; Rhabditidae
Description: tRNA-Ser (AGA) (tRNA-Ser-AGA-3-1)
Rfam family: tRNA
About the family: Transfer RNA (tRNA) molecules are approximately 80 nucleotides in length. Their secondary structure includes four short double-helical elements and three loops (D, anti-codon, and T loops).
Source: RNAcentral
GCAGUCAUGUCCGAGUGGUUAAGGAGAUUGACUAGAAAUCAAUUGGGCUCUGCCCGCGUAGGUUCGAAUCCUGCUGACUAGGCA